AGUGUCAAGGGAUGGGAAUCGAACCCAGGACCUUCCGCUUACCGGGCAGAUGCCAUGACCACUAGGCCACAUGACC
RNAcentral lists this transfer RNA (76 nucleotides) under Cordylochernes scorpioides. RNAcentral describes it as "tRNA-Thr". Lineage: Eukaryota; Metazoa; Arthropoda; Arachnida; Pseudoscorpiones; Chernetidae. The record is from RNAcentral.